AAUUCGAUUGAGUUUGAUCAUGGCUCAGGACGAACGCUGGCGGCGUGCUUAACACAUGCAAGUCGAACGAGGUCUUCGGACCUAGUGGCGAACGGGUGAGUAACACGUGAGGAACGUGCCCCAGAGACCGGGAUAAGCCGAGGAAACUUGGUCUAAUACCGGAUGUCCCCACCGGAUCGCAUGGUCUGAUGAGGAAAUGGAUUCCGCUCUGGGAGCGCCUCGCGGCCUAUCAGCUAGUUGGUGGGGUAACGGCCCACCAAGGCGUCGACGGGUAGCUGGUCUGAGAGGAUGAUCAGCCACACUGGGACUGAGACACGGCCCAGACUCCUACGGGAGGCAGCAGUGGGGAAUCUUGCGCAAUGGGCGAAAGCCUGACGCAGCAACGCCGCGUGCGGGACGACGGCCCUCGGGUUGUAAACCGCUUUCAGCAGGAACGAUGAUGACGGUACCUGCAGAAGAAGCUCCGGCCAGCUACGUGCCAGCAGCCGCGGUAAUACGUAGGGAGCAAGCGUUGUCCGGAUUUAUUGGGCGUAAAGAGCUCGUAGGCGGUUCGGUAAGUCGGGUGUGAAAACUCUGGGCUCAACCCGGAGAGGCCACUCGAUACUGCCGUGACUUGAGUCUGGUAGGGGAGCACGGAAUUCCUGGUGUAGCGGUGAAAUGCACAGAUAUCAGGAGGAACACCGGUGGCGAAGGCGGUGCUCUGGGCCAGUACUGACGCUGAGGAGCGAAAGCGUGGGGAGCGAACAGGA
RNAcentral lists this ribosomal RNA (749 nucleotides) under uncultured bacterium. Its description in RNAcentral is "bacterial SSU rRNA". It matches the Rfam family "Bacterial small subunit ribosomal RNA", at positions 1 to 777 of the family's 1533-position model. The record is from RNAcentral.